This 492-nucleotide ribosomal RNA is filed under the name uncultured bacterium. RNAcentral's name for it is "partial 16S ribosomal RNA". It matches the Rfam family "Bacterial small subunit ribosomal RNA", at positions 29 to 507 of the family's 1533-position model. The record is from RNAcentral.
AGUGAACGCUGGCGGUAGGCCUAACACAUGCAAGUCGAACGGCAGCACAGUAAGAGCUUGCUCUUACGGGUGGCGAGUGGCGGACGGGUGAGGAAUACAUCGGAAUCUACUUUUUCGUGGGGGAUAACGUAGGGAAACUUACGCUAAUACCGCAUACGACCUACGGGUGAAAGCAGGGGAUCUUCGGACCUUGCGCGAUUGAAUGAGCCGAUGUCGGAUUAGCUAGUUGGCGGGGUAAAGGCCCACCAAGGCGACGAUCCGUAGCUGGUCUGAGAGGAUGAUCAGCCACACGGGAACUGAGACACGGUCCAGACUCCUACGGGAGGCAGCAGUGGGAAAUAUUGGACAAUGGGCGCAAGCCUGAUCCAGCCAUACCGCGUGGGUGAAGAAGGCCUUCGGGUUGUAAAGCCCUUUUGUUGGGAAAGAAAAGCAGCAGGUUAAUACCCCGCUGUUCUGACGGUACCCAAAGAAUAAGCACCGGCUAACUUCGUG